AAUUUCUCUCCUGUUUUAGAGUGUGUAGAGGCAGCUGUUAGGCCUGAAGUCAUGGUCAAUGGGAAUCUAGUCAAAACAGUCAAUAUUAUCCAUAAAGAACAGAGAGAAACUUGAAAAGAUUGGGCUGAAGCUGCAAACAUGCUUUAGAUAAAGGAGAGAGAAGAAAGGUGGAGUGGCUCUUGAAGGCAGAUGAAGAUUAGAGAAUAAAUUAGCAGAAGCAUUAAAAGUAAGGAGUUGA
This 238-nucleotide long non-coding RNA is filed under the name Cyanistes caeruleus (blue tit). Its description in RNAcentral is "lncRNA (ENSCCEG00000009253.1)". The record is from RNAcentral. Lineage: Eukaryota; Metazoa; Chordata; Aves; Passeriformes; Paridae.